RNAcentral lists this ribosomal RNA (474 nucleotides) under uncultured bacterium. RNAcentral's name for it is "bacterial SSU rRNA". It matches the Rfam family "Bacterial small subunit ribosomal RNA", at positions 328 to 793 of the family's 1533-position model. The record is from RNAcentral.
GAAGAGCACUCCUACGGGAGGCAGCAGUGGGGAAUAUUGCACAAUGGGCGCAAGCCUGAUGCAGCCAUGCCGCGUGUAUGAAGAAGGCCUUCGGGUUGUAAAGUACUUUCAGCAGUGAGGAAGGUGGGUAUGUUAAUAGCAUACUCAUUUGACGUUAGCUGCAGAAGAAGCACCGGCUAACUCCGUGCCAGCAGCCGCGGUAAUACGGAGGGUGCGAGCGUUAAUCGGAAUUACUGGGCGUAAAGCGCAUGCAGGUGGUUUGUUAAGUCAGAUGUGAAAGCCCGGGGCUCAACCUCGGAAUUGCAUUUAGAAACUGGACAAACUAGAGUACUGUAGAGGGGGUAGAAUUUCAGGUGUAGCGGUGAAAUGCGUAGAGAUCUGAAGGAAUACCGGUGGCGAAGGCGGCCCCCUGGACAGAUACUGACACUCAGAUGCGAAAGCGUGGGGAGCAAACAGGAUUAGAUACCCUGGUAG